This 25-nucleotide unclassified non-coding RNA is filed under the name Mus musculus (house mouse). Its description in RNAcentral is "oocyte_clustered_small_RNA4967". Lineage: Eukaryota; Metazoa; Chordata; Mammalia; Rodentia; Muridae. The record is from RNAcentral.
AUAUACAAGGUGUGGUGCAUGUAAG